UCUCGGUGAUUUAGCCGCGUAGGCCCCACCUCUUCCCAUUCCGAACAGAGAAGUGAAAAUACGCGGCCUCGAUGAUACUCUAAAGGGAAAGUAGAGUUCGCCGGGAA
This 107-nucleotide ribosomal RNA is filed under the name Candidatus Roizmanbacteria bacterium RIFCSPHIGHO2_01_FULL_39_12c. The record is from RNAcentral. Lineage: Bacteria; Candidatus Roizmaniibacteriota.